This 3979-nucleotide long non-coding RNA is filed under the name Capra hircus (goat). RNAcentral describes it as "lncRNA (ENSCHIG00010003141.1)". Lineage: Eukaryota; Metazoa; Chordata; Mammalia; Artiodactyla; Bovidae. The record is from RNAcentral.
AUGCAGAAGACACAGGUUCAAUCCCUGGGUUGGGAAGAUCGCCUGGAGAAAAAAUGGCAACCCACUGCAGUAUUUUUGCGGGGAGAAUCCCAUGGACAAAGAAGUCUGGUGGGCUGCAGUCUAUGGGGUUGCAACAGGGUUGCACGUGACAUACGACUAAACAACAGCCACAACAGAUGGUGCCGCUCGUGGCCGUCUUGGCCUUGCACCUGGCUUUCAGGGCACUCCUCGCAUUUCACCAGUGGCGUCUCAAGCAGAACUCGAAACAAUGCCAGCAGAAGCAGUUGCCCCAUCUUCUCAGGACAGAGUGUUACAGAGGACACUUUCCCAGAGGGCUGUGCUGUGAGGCAUCCAGAGCUGUGGCUUCAGGUACAUGCGCUUCAGGGCAGCUCUGUAGCUGCCCACGCUCUGAGUCAGUGAAUAAGCGUACAUACACUAAACAUCUAGUAGAUACCAGGCAAUGGGGAUGCAAUGCUGAAUCACACACAGUUCCUGUCCUUAAGGGGCUUGCAGUCUAGAGGGGAGACGAGGAAGUGACUGCAUGUGGUGGGGGUGGUCAGUGAAGCUGAGUACCUACCUUACCCAAGGUGAGAUGCAGAGAGGCUGCUCAGCCUUGGGAGUGUAGAAACUGCUUUUUCCUCAAGCACCAGAGAAGCUCAUGUACAGAAUUUUCCUCAUUUUGCAGUGUUUGUUUAACACACUAUUUUUUCUUUCCUUUUCUUCUAUUGUUAUUAUUUUGGCCCUGCCAUGGGACAUGUGAAAUCCUCGCUCCGGGACGAUGGGUUGAACUCACGCCCCCUACAUUGGAAGCACAGAGUCCCAACCACUGGACCACUAGAGAAGUCCCAGACUUUAAUUUUUAGAGCAGUUUUAGGUUCACAGAAAAAGUGAGAAGAAUAUACAAAGGGUUCCCAUAUACCCCUUGCCCUCAUACAUGCCUAACCUCCUCCACUAUCAACAUCCUGCCUUAGAGUGGCACAUUUGUUACAAGAACCUAAAUUGACUCGUCCCUGUAACCCAAUAUCCAUAGUUUACAUUCGCAUUUACUCUUGGUGUAUAUUCUGUGGGUUUUGACAAAUGCAUAAGGACAUGCGUCCAUCGUCAUAGUACCAUGCAGAGUAAUUUCACUGCCUAAAAUAUCCUAUGUGUGCUGCCCGUUCAGUGCUCCCUACCCCCACCCCCAGCCCACUGAUUUCUUUACUGUCUGUAUAGUUCUGCCUUUUCCAGAAUAUUAUGUGUUUGGGAUCAUAGAGUAUGUAGCCUUUUCAGAUUGCCUUCCUUCAUUAAUAAUAUGCUUUUAAUAUCCCUCCGUGUCUUCUUGUGGAUUCGUAGCUCAUUUCUUAUUAGUGCUGAAUAAUAUUCCCUUGUAUGGAUGUGUCACAGUUUAUCCAUUCACCUACUGUAGAGCAUCCUGGUUGUCUUCAAGUUUUGGCAAUUCUCUGUAAAAUUGCAACAAAGAUCUGUGUGCAGAUUUUAGCAAGGAAUGUGAUUACUGGAGUAUAUGGUCAGACUGUUUAGUUUUGUAAGAAACCUUCAAACUUCAAAAGCAGUUAUACCAUGGUAUAUAUAUAUUUUAAAUGACUUAAUCUUGAAUCCAGCAGUACCUAUAUGAGGUGUGUUUUCAGAGACUUCAGAAAACUUCCCUGAUCAGCCGUUAGUUGGCAGAUGCCUCUCAUUCUGUCCUCAUAUUUCAUCUAAAUAGUUUGAGUUUUUGAACUCUGUCAAAAUACAAACUCUUGUAUAAUUGGUAACAAUUUUCACUGUCGUCAAUUACGUNNNNNNNNNNNNNNNNNNNNNNNNNNNNNNNNNNNNNNNNNNNNNNNNNNNNNNNNNNNNNNNNNNNNNNNNNNNNNNNNNNNNNNNNNNNNNNNNNNNGUAUUGUUCCUGUCCCAGGAGUAUUUGCUGUAUGCAGGGUUAGAGAUCUGUUUUGUUUACUCUAAUAAGUGGAGAAGGAGCCAGCAGUCAGCAGGCACUGAACUAGAACUGGGCACACAGAGGUAAAGAGGAGCAAGCUGUGUCCUUGAAGAGCUAACCACCCAGGCAUGUACACACACAAUUUCAGUAUAACAUGGUAAGUACUAUAAUCACAAAAUUGAUCUUCAGAUAGUCUGCCUAGCUGUCAAUUGAUGUGUCAAAUCAUGUGUUGCAGUCUUUGGUACAGAAAAUAUGGUUUGCUCAAAUAGAGGUAUUAACGCACCAUCGGAGCUCAGCAGUGAGCAUGACUGACUCAGCCUGGAGGCUCUGAGAAUUCUUCACAGAGGAGACAAAGUUGGGGUUUAAUAUUCAAAAACAUAUGUGAUAGUUCCUGGCACAGGAGAGAGACAGGUUUUAAGGCAGACAGUUAAGUGUGUGUGUGUAAAGGUGUGAAGUAGGAAAGAGUUUGGUCUGUCUGAGGGAAGUGCUUCAGUGUGGUCAGAGAAGAAAGCAUCUGAGUUGGCGGCAGGAGAGGUGGAAAGGAGGAGGCAGGAUGACAUGCAGGCAGGAGGCAGCGUGUGAAGGACUUUAUAUCAUAGGCAGGAAGCGAACCUUGUAGUAGUCCAGUAGGAUAGCCAUUAACCAUAUGGCCCUUGAGUACAUGAAAUGUGUCCAAUGCAACUGAAGGGCAGAAUUUUUUGUUUUAUUUCAUUGAUGUAAAUUAAAAAUGGAAAUAGUAUAAAAUAGAAAGAUACAUAGAUAACAUGUCGAAAUGAUUAUAUUUUGGAUGGGUUAGUUAAAUACAGUACGCUAUUAAAAUUAACUUCACUUGUUCCUUUUCAGUUUUUAAAAAUGUGGCUACUAGAACCUUUAAAAUUAUGUGUUCAGCUCACAUUAUAUUUUUGUUGGACUGUGCUGCUAUAGGCAGUUGGAAGCCACUGAGAGAUUUUGUGCAAGACAUGAAUGUGAUCAGAUUGGGGUUUUAUUUUUUAAUUUUUUUUUAAUUUUUUAAAUUAUGAAAGUAUGGUGACACAUUUACAGGAGACUUGGAAAAUACAGAACAAAAUCACAUAUAGUUCCCCUAUAACAGUUAUUAUUUCAAGUAGAUAAAUUAAGCUUUUUAGUUAGAGUUUCAAUAUCAAACUCUCAAAAAUUAAGAGAAUGAAUAGACAGAAAAGUAGAAGGAUAUAGUAGACCUGAAAAGCACUAUGAAACAAUUCAACAUAAUUAAGAUUUAUACAAUUUUCACACAACAAAAGGGUACAAAUUUAUUCAAGUUCCCAUAGACUAUAAACCAGGAGACACAGAAACAUAUCCAGAGAUGUAAAAAAGUAUACACAGUCUGUUCUCUUAUCACUGUGUAAUUAUGUUAGAAAUCAAUAUCAAAAGAUACUUGAAAAUAACCCACAUAUNNNNNNNNNNNNNNNNNNNNNNNNNNNNNNNNNNNNNNNNNNNNNNNNNNNNNNNNNNNNNNNNNNNNNNNNNNNNNNNNNNNNNNNNNNNNNNNNNNNAUAUCAAAAGAUACUUGAAAAUAACCCACAUAUUUUCAAGUGCAAUGUGAGAUCUUUGAUUUAGCCACAGAAAUCUUUGAUUUAGCCAGAGAGAUCUUUGAUUGAGCUAUUGAAAGCCUCAAGAAGGUUAAAAGACUAAAAAACCAGAAAGCAAUUGCAGAGAAAGAAAUAUUUAAAUGAGACAUUAAUAUCAAAAUGAGAAAUUAAUGUAAAGAUACUUCAAAAACCCCUUGUAUUUGGAAAUUAAGUGUCCACUUUUGAAUAAUGGGUGUUUCUAAGGAGAUAUAACAAGGAAAAUUAUAAAAUAUUUGUAACAGAAGAGAAAUGAAAACAGAAUGGACACUAGUAUAAAAUUUUCUGAAAUUUGAACAAAAUCUGUACUUUAGUUAAUAAUACUCUGAAAGUAAAAGUGAAAGUCGCUCAGUCAUGUCUGACUCUUUGCAGCCCCAUGGACCAUAGAGUCCAUGGAAUUCUCCUGGCCAGAAUACUGGAGUGGGUAGGCCUUUUUCCCUUCUUCAGGGGACCUUCCCAACCCAGGGAUCAAACCCAGGUCU